RNAcentral lists this ribosomal RNA (468 nucleotides) under uncultured bacterium. RNAcentral's name for it is "partial 16S ribosomal RNA". It matches the Rfam family "Bacterial small subunit ribosomal RNA", at positions 28 to 507 of the family's 1533-position model. The record is from RNAcentral.
GACGAACGCUGGCGGCGUGCUUAACACAUGCAAGUCGAACAGAAAGGCCCUGCUUUUGUGGGGUGCUCGAGUGGCGAACGGGUGAGUAACACGUGAGUAACCUGCCCUUGACUUUGGGAUAACUUCAGGAAACUGGGGCUAAUACCGGAUAGGAGCUCCUGCUGCAUGGUGGGGGUUGGAAAGUUUCGGCGGUUGGGGAUGGACUCGCGGCUUAUCAGCUUGUUGGUGGGGUAGUGGCUUACCAAGGCUUUGACGGGUAGCCGGCCUGAGAGGGUGACCGGCCACAUUGGGACUGAGAUACGGCCCAGACUCCUACGGGAGGCAGCAGUGGGGAAUAUUGCACAAUGGGCGGGAGCCUGAUGCAGCAACGCCGCGUGCGGGAUGACGGCCUUCGGGUUGUAAACCGCUUUCGCCUGUGACGAAGCGUGAGUGACGGUAAUGGGUAAAGAAGCACCGGCUAACUACGUG